UUUACCCAAGAGAAAUGAAGACAUAUGUUCAAGAAAAGACUGGUACAGGAAUGUUCCUGGCAGCCUUCCUCCUAAGAACCCCAAAUGCGAAACAACCUGGUAGGCAAACAGCCGCCGGCGUGCCGAGACAACACAGCGGCACCGGGAAAAGGGACCGAUCACAGAUACACGCGAUGCCACGGACCACGGAUGUGUCAGAAACAUGACGACGAGUGGAAGAAGUGUUGCCAACAAAACCUACCGUGGGGUUCGACUUACAUGGGGUCCUAAAACUGGCAAAAUAACCUCUGGUGGGAAAGCAAGCGGAACGCCAGGGACUGAUUGGGAAGAGGCCUGGGGGAACUUGCCGGUUGCCGGUCAUACAUCUUGACUGGAGCCUGGUUUGGUCGGCAGAUGCACCUGCGGCCGUUAAUACACACAUUUCCUGGAGUCGUGGCCCAGAGGACGCUUCGCAGAUGCCCACACGCAAACCAACCAUCUGCGCGGCCCGAUAAACAGAACACUCUGAGUCAGAAGGCCUGGGCUGGGGCCCAAGAGUGUGUAUUUCUAACGAGCUCCAGACGCUGCCGCGGCCGGUCCUCAGGCUGCUCCGAGAGGAGCGAGGACUUCAGACUAUUCCCUACGGACAAAGGUAAUUCAUAUAUCGGGACCCACAAAAUGGCCGCGGGCCCCCCUCCCCACCCCGGGGCCUGGGCCCAUGUCACCAGUCUAAACCUACGUCAGGCGGCACUGCACCGGAAGUGCGUCACUGUCAGGAAUCCUAACGCACCAAUCACAAUCCUCCAACUCAGGGGUGGCUGGCUGACCUCACCCUGGGAAAUAGGGCCCGCCUGAUUUUAAGGGAAUCCGCCGACUCAUAGCCAGUCACACGGUGUUUCCAUGAAAACCUCUUGCCCCACGUCCGUCAGAAAGCCUGCCUCACGUUUGUGAGGCUCUGUACUCCCCCAUCCAUGGACUGUUUUCCC
This 965-nucleotide long non-coding RNA is filed under the name Mustela putorius furo (domestic ferret). RNAcentral's name for it is "lncRNA (ENSMPUG00000030099.1)". The record is from RNAcentral. Lineage: Eukaryota; Metazoa; Chordata; Mammalia; Carnivora; Mustelidae.